This 1020-nucleotide long non-coding RNA is filed under the name Nicotiana tabacum (common tobacco). Its description in RNAcentral is "long non-coding RNA (NTAB_LNC008485)". Lineage: Eukaryota; Viridiplantae; Streptophyta; Magnoliopsida; Solanales; Solanaceae. The record is from RNAcentral.
UGGCAUAUGGGUAUCUCAACAAGUCUUGACUAACGUACUGUUUAUUUUUCAAAUGGAUUUGCAGGAAUCUUAUUAAAGCAAUGAAGAGACAGAGGCGCAAGCGAAAAGCUCUUUUGUAAUAAACAAAUAAUGAUGCGUGUUUGUUGCGGUCUUAUGUACAGAAGACAGGAUAAGGUGUGAAUUAGUGGUUGUGGAAAUUGGUCACAACUCAAAAAAAAGAUAUAGGGGUGUGGGCUUAGAGUGGAGUUCCCAAAAGGGUAUUUCAAGGAAAAUAUGGGCAAGAAGUAGCAACUGGCUCAUUGCUCUUUUUUUUUCUCUUUUUCCCUUUUUUGGUUCCUAAAAAGAAAAGAAAAUAAAGUCUCCCGUUUGCUCCCCCUUCUUCUCUUACCUUGUGUUGAUUUCUUGUAUUACAGGUUUCCUCGUGUUAAUGAUAGUUUUGCAGUUGGAUCAAAAUAUAGGAUCCUUCUUCCUGUCUAUUUACUCUCUUUUUUAAUUUUUUAUCGUUUGGUAAUUUGGAGUUUACUUUUGCGAAGCGCCAUACUUUGAUUCACGUUUUCAACGUAUAAAAUUUAAAUAUGUGAAUGAUCAUUUAUAUUCCUACCACAAAGAGGCUAAAAAUUGGUCAGUUGUCCAAUUCGCGCAUGACAAAAGAGAGCUACAACUUGGGCUAUGGGAGCAAGUUGAGACAGAGACAACUUGGGACAAGGCUUAAAUUGCAUAUUUAUCUUCUUCUUUUUAGAGAGUGACUAAACAAAUUUUACAAUCUUUAGCUUGAUUUUGUAUCUGUUAGUGGAUUUCAUAUCUUUCUGUUUUCAGCUCCAUUGUUAUUAUUAGGUAUACAUGCUUUGCUCCUUUAGAAAUAUUAAUGAUACGUUAUUUUCUGUUUUUAUAGUUGCAAGAAAUCAACAGAUAUGUGUUGCCGUCAUUUUCUUCAAGUAACUCACAACUGUGUCAUUUGAAAUGCCCAAAUUUUUGUGCAAUUGCAGUGUAGAAAACACUAAUCCACAAGAAAAAAAAAAA